AAAAGAUGACGGUUAAGACCUCGUCUGUUCUUUCUUACCCAGUGUUUGCGAGAAUCAGGYGGGAUCUUGCCGUGAUUGAUGAAUGCUACCUGGUUGAUCCUGCCAGUAGUCAUAUGCUUGUCUCAAAGAUUAAGCCAUGCAUGUGUAAGUAUGAACGAAUUCAGA
RNAcentral lists this ribosomal RNA (165 nucleotides) under Eutrema japonicum. Its description in RNAcentral is "partial 18S ribosomal RNA". The stretch from base 87 to 165 matches the Rfam family "Eukaryotic small subunit ribosomal RNA", at positions 1 to 79 of the family's 1831-position model. Lineage: Eukaryota; Viridiplantae; Streptophyta; Magnoliopsida; Brassicales; Brassicaceae. The record is from RNAcentral. RNAcentral also lists the same sequence under 1 other name.